GACGAACGCUGGCGGCGUGCCUAAUACAUGCAAGUAGAACGCACAGUUUAUACCGUAGCUUGCUACACCAUACACUGUGAGUUGCGAACGGGUGAGUAACGCGUAGGUAACCUGCCUGGUAGCGGGGGAUAACUAUUGGAAACGAUAGCUAAUACCGCAUAAUAUUGAUUAUUGCAUGAUAAUUGAUUGAAAGAUGCUAUUGCAUCACUACCAGAUGGACCUGCGUUGUAUUAGCUAGUAGGUGAGGUAACGGCUCACCUAGGCGACGAUACAUAGCCGACCUGGGAGGGUGAGCGGCCACACUGGGACUGGGACACGGCCCAGACUCCUACGGGAGGCAGCAGUAGGGAAUCUUCGGCAAUGGACGAAAGUCUGACCGAGCAACGCCGCGUGAGUGAAGAAGGUGUUCGGAUCGUAAAGCUCUGUUGUAAGAGAAGAACGGGUGUGAGAGUGGAAAGUUCACACUGUGACGGUAUCUUACCAGAAAGGGACGGCUAACUACGUG
This 505-nucleotide ribosomal RNA is filed under the name uncultured bacterium. RNAcentral describes it as "partial 16S ribosomal RNA". It matches the Rfam family "Bacterial small subunit ribosomal RNA", at positions 28 to 507 of the family's 1533-position model. The record is from RNAcentral.